AUAAAACUUUCAACAACGGAUCUCUUGGUUCUGGCAUCGAUGAAGAACGCAGCGAAAUGCGAUAAGUAAUGUGAAUUGCAGAAUUCAGUGAAUCAUCGAAUCUUUGAACGCACAUUGCGCCCCUUGGUAUUCCGGGGGGCAUGCCUGUUCGAGCGUCA
This 158-nucleotide ribosomal RNA is filed under the name Lasiodiplodia jatrophicola. RNAcentral describes it as "5.8S ribosomal RNA". It matches the Rfam family "5.8S ribosomal RNA". From Rfam's summary of the family: 5.8S ribosomal RNA (5.8S rRNA) is a component of the large subunit of the eukaryotic ribosome. It is transcribed by RNA polymerase I as part of the 45S precursor that also contains 18S and 28S rRNA. Lineage: Eukaryota; Fungi; Ascomycota; Dothideomycetes; Botryosphaeriales; Botryosphaeriaceae. The record is from RNAcentral.